CCAUUAUAUAAGAUUGAGGCUCU
Molecule: microRNA, 23 nt
Filed under: Fasciola hepatica (liver fluke)
Lineage: Eukaryota; Metazoa; Platyhelminthes; Trematoda; Plagiorchiida; Fasciolidae
Description: fhe-miR-11584
Source: miRBase by way of RNAcentral